UAGCAAAUUCAAAAUGGGUCUAAUGUGGGA
Molecule: non-coding RNA, 30 nt
Filed under: Mus musculus (house mouse)
Lineage: Eukaryota; Metazoa; Chordata; Mammalia; Rodentia; Muridae
Source: RNAcentral